This 497-nucleotide ribosomal RNA is filed under the name uncultured bacterium. RNAcentral describes it as "partial 16S ribosomal RNA". It matches the Rfam family "Bacterial small subunit ribosomal RNA", at positions 28 to 507 of the family's 1533-position model. The record is from RNAcentral.
GAUGAACGCUGGCGGCGUGCCUAAUACAUGCAAGUCGAGCGAACGGACGAGAAGCUUGCUUCUCUGAUGUUAGCGGCGGACGGGUGAGUAACACGUGGAUAACCUACCUAUAAGACUGGGAUAACUUCGGGAAACCGGAGCUAAUACCGGAUAAUAUUUUGAACCGCAUGGUUCAAAAGUGAAAGACGGUCUUGCUGUCACUUAUAGAUGGAUCCGCGCUGCAUUAGCUAGUUGGUAAGGUAACGGCUUACCAAGGCAACGAUGCAUAGCCGACCUGAGAGGGUGAUCGGCCACACUGGAACUGAGAGACGGUCCAGACUCCUACGGGAGGCAGCAGUAGGGAAUCUUCCGCAAUGGGCGAAAGCCUGACGGAGCAACGCCGCGUGAGUGAUGAAGGUCUUCGGAUCGUAAAACUCUGUUAUUAGGGAAGAACAUAUGUGUAAGUAACUGUGCACAUCUUGACGGUACCUAAUCAGAAAGCCACGGCUAACUACGUG